AUAAUAAUUAGUCUUUUAAUUAAAGGCUUGAAUGAAUGAUUGGACGAGGUAAAUUCUGUUUCAUUGAAUUCAAAAUUUAAAUUCAAUUUUUUAGUUAAAAAGCUGAAAUAUAAUUAAAGGACGAGAAGACCCUAUAGAACUUUGUAAUAUAUAAUUAAUAGAUUUCAAUUUGAUUUUGUUAAUAAAUUAUCUUGUUGGGGCGACAAGAAAAUUUAUUGAACUUUUUUAAUCUUAUUACAUUAAUGUAUGAUUUUUUGAUCCUAAUUUUUAGAUUAUUAGAUUAAGUUACUUUAGGGAUAACAGCGUUAUUUUUUUCUAGAGUUCAUAUUAAUA
RNAcentral lists this ribosomal RNA (333 nucleotides) under Arge rustica. Its description in RNAcentral is "partial large subunit ribosomal RNA". The record is from RNAcentral. Lineage: Eukaryota; Metazoa; Arthropoda; Insecta; Hymenoptera; Argidae.